GUGGAGGUUGAUCCUUCACCACAACUGAGAGGCUCAUCUCUCACCACGACAGACUUGAGGGGUUCUCUGCCAUCUGAUCCUUCACCACAACAGUGGAGGCUGAUCUCUCACCGCAACACAGAGGCUGAUCUCUCAUGAUCUCUCACCACGACACGAGCUUCCUGCCUUCAGAUCCUUCUCUAUGGACCGUUUGCUGACGGACUUCCCUGGGCCUGCUACCUGAGACCUGCUGCUUCCUCCCUGACCUGCACCCUCUCAUUGCCAAGACCGGCCUCGCUGCUCCUGCCCUUCGGCCUCGGACCGUCAGAACGUCGUGCAACGGGACUACUGCCGGAUCCUGAUGAGAGUAAUACAUAACUCCCUGAGUUACACUCAACAUGCUUAUUCCUGUAAGAAAUCUGACUUCAGCCAAAAGUGUUGGUGGCAAGAGAGAACAAUGGUCAUGCAAGGAAUUCUGGAGAGAGAAUGGUAGAAUGGUUACAACGAGCUCACUGGGAGAUCUGAUCCCAGUCACCAGCUGAGAGGACAGAGGAGAACACAACUUGCGCUCCCGAUCCCUUCAGAAGUCUUCCCAGAGCCCUGACGUCCCUUCUGAUCACCCAAAGGCUUCUUUUGCCUACCUCUUCAUUUCCAAUGUGGAAAACCAGUAACGGAGAAUAAUCGGAGGGCUUAACGAGGUGUCGUUAAUCGGAGGCUUAAUGACAACACACCUCCCUGUGGGAUGGAUCUGAGCAGCAUAUCGGGCCCUCGGUUCCCCUCAGAAGGGAGUUCCCUAUGACGACAAGUUUUUUUGUUUUGUUUUGUUCCCCUCCCCCCCCCCCCCCUCCCCCCCCAAGUGACGUAGCAAAAUGGGGAGCAGACUGACUAGCCUUGGGCAACCUCUCCUGCAUGGAUGGACUUUCACCAACAUCCACAGCUCCUACUCCCUCCAGCUUCAGAGCCUCAUACCUGUUUUGUAAGGGCACCUGGGAAGGUGGGACAGGCUGAGGGGCAGUCUGCUUGCUGCCCUGAACAGGGACUUGUUUCCAUCCCUCGCUGUCUUUGAGGUCACUCCUUCCCACCUGACUGUGAGACAGCAGAUGAUCCCCCACUGCUUGAGGAGCAUCUCCCCUGCACCCUUUCUGUAGGGAUGGCAGAGUGCAACUUUACUAGUCAAUCCCCUUCCCACAAUCCCGGAUGCUCCUCCCUUUCUUCCUCCUUCUGCUCUACCACCAGCCUGAGCAGAUCCUCCACCUGCUCACACUGCACACAGGUAGUAUCCUGGCUGCCCUCCUGUACCAGUAACAUGGCCAGGCAUUCUCCGCAACCUGAGACCCGAACUGUGGCAUGGACAUUCAUGCUUUCUGUCUGAGUCUCCACGUUCCUUUUAGCAGCAGCUCACCUCCGUUUGGUGACCAUGGUUGCACCUCGGUGUGUCCAGAGAGCAACGACCUGUUAAGUGACCUGUUAAGUGCUAAGUGCUAAGCCCCCUCCUAUAUGGCAAGGUGCCCUGCCCUGCCCUGCCUGCCCGCUGAUUUGCUCGGGGUUUGCCCUAGAAAUCACUCUUUUCACAGCAAGACAACAACCUGCCUUCCUGCAUAGUCACGCAAAUAGGUGGCUUACUAUUUCACCUCCUCAGAACAGCCCAAGUGAUUCAAACACCCUGACUCCUCCUCUCCAUCCCCAAGGCUUUUUCUAGGCAGGGGGCGUGGAUGCAGAGCCGUUGCCCUGGCAACGCCCACUUCAUGUCAGCCACUCUCCCAAGAGCUGCCAGGCUGCUCUGUUAUCCCGGGGUUCCCUGAAUAAAGGAACCGGCCAAAACACCCCUGUACCUCGUGAUCAGUCACUGUGGUUCUGGCUGGGACAGCUCCGAAGCAGCUAACCUCGGCAAUCAAAUUGAGUUACUAUCUUCACGUACUUCAAAAUUUCUCAGUUUUCUAAAGUCAAGUAUUGAUAGUGAAAUCUCAAAACUGCUUAACCAAUGUUUAUACAGAUUUUUUUUUUCUGAUCAAUCUUGAAUCAUUCUAAAGCAACUUCAAAAUAAUAUAAAGUUAUUAC
Molecule: long non-coding RNA, 2037 nt
Filed under: Gallus gallus (chicken)
Lineage: Eukaryota; Metazoa; Chordata; Aves; Galliformes; Phasianidae
Description: lncRNA (ENSGALG00010004357.1)
Source: RNAcentral